UGGCCUAUUGAUAUGAAUUGCCACGUUAAACCCAUGAAAUGACAACGUCAGAGCCUGUUGUGUCAGACGUACAGAAAUUCGUUUUUUUUUUAAAAAGUAUCAAUAAUAAUUUUGACAGUCUGUUUGUAACAUAUGGCUUGAUGAUUCACUUGAGUAAGAUAAAAGCCAUGAUUUCUUCUCUCGAUAUCACUAGCUACCAAGAUGUUUUUACAAUUUUUGGUUAUAUGGCUAUUACCUGCAUUGUCGUUGGCCAUGCCACCAGCGCUCUCUACAACUACCAAUGUACAAUAUCCCGAUACCACGACGUCAUUGAUAACGACAACAAAACCACCAUGUGUUUGCCAAGAUGGGACUGUUCUUAAUAUUGGAGAAAUUUAUUACCCAACGGACUGUUCAUACUGUGAAUGUAGACAAGAAGGUGUCAUCAAGGCCCAUGGUUCAUGUCUUUCAGUUCCAUGUACCGAUCCAUAUUCUGUUGAAGGUGAUGGUAUAUGUUGCCCUACCUGUCCCAGCGGAAUAUGUAACGCCUUCUACGGCCCAUAUGGUAUGUAUUGGAAAUCUAUUCCCGCUGGUUCACCCGUUGUUCUUGGUGAUUACGUGUGUGAAUGUGACGAACCCGGUUAUGUACCCGACGGGGUUAUACCUACAGCAACAUGUACUGAAAUAUCAACAAUCCCAUCACCAACCACAACUACUACUGUCACACCACCUACAGGACCUGGUCCAGAACCAAUAGGUUAGAUAAAGUCAAGAGUGGGGAAUGAUAAAAGGAUAUUCUACCAUUAACUGAUAAUAUCCAAUAUACUGCUUACACAUGGAGACAUAUUGGUAUUUUACUUUUUUAACUCUAACCCAACCCUUAAACAUGCAUUAUGCAAGAGCUAAAUCUGUCUAUUGCAGGUCUCUCUUUACGCCUGAAAUGUUAUCUAAAUUAUUAAUUAGACAUUAAUUAACCUAUCCAGGCCAUAAUCAACUCUUGAUGGCAUCGCUAGCCUGCGAUCUUUAGUGGUUUGUGAGCCGAUUUACUGCAUCACUUUCCUUCUCCAUUAAACGAUUAAAUGGAUAAUCGAGA
RNA transcript from Patella vulgata (common limpet), 1072 nucleotides. RefSeq lists it as uncharacterized. The record is from RefSeq and is a predicted model, not a curated record. The transcript is spliced from 2 exons. Lineage: Eukaryota; Metazoa; Mollusca; Gastropoda; Patellidae.